Molecule: long non-coding RNA, 1424 nt
Filed under: Phasianus colchicus (ring-necked pheasant)
Lineage: Eukaryota; Metazoa; Chordata; Aves; Galliformes; Phasianidae
Description: lncRNA (ENSPCLG00000009184.1)
Source: RNAcentral
AUAACUGAUCAUUUCAUUCUCUAGGAAUCUUUGGUUUAAGUGUACUAUUUUCAAGUACUUGUCCCCCUCAGGACUGCAGCCUAUUGCUGAACUGACAAAGCACCAAGUUUGCACUGGCGAUGUAUUUUCAUUAAAAAAACAAAACAAAACAACACCCAAAAGCAAACAGGAAAAAAAAAAAAAAUAUUAACUCUACAAAGGACAGAAAGAAGUCUUACUGUUCCAGAAAGCAUGCAUGUUAUGCAGGGCUUCUGGUGGAAAGCAUCCUGUCACUGCUUCCAGGCCACUUAAAUCUAACAGGUAUUAAUCACCUGGGUUAUUUGUUUGGUUGUGGCUCAUGGGAAAUCAGUAUGUAGCAUCUUCAAAGAAGCCUGAUUCCAAAUAAUAUAUUAAAAUUAAUGUCUUAUAUUUCAUCUCAAAGAAAUUACAAGUUGAAUCAGAUUUUUGUUGUACAGUAGUAUUAUCCUCCUUAUUCAGAGUCAGUAAUCUAAUGGACAUUUAUAGCAGGUUUUAGUAAUCCAGUCCCUAAAAUGACAAAAGACUCCAACUGUGGUAAUAUCAGUUACUAACCAUCUCUUGGGGACUGCUGCAGGGCAGUGCAGAUGUGUACCCAGUCAUGGGGGCUGCCUGACAAAUAUCCUUGUCCAGGGAUUCCAUAGAAGUCUUUCAGGCAAAGCAAGCAAAAGGAUGUGUAACACUUACCGUCGCCACUUUUUAACAAAUUGGAGUUAAAUUUUAUUUCAGCAAUUAGUCAGCCAUCAGUAAAAUCUCCAUCUCUGCAGAUCUGAGUCUGCUAGAUUAGCAAGCAACACUGGUUGACUGAUGUUUUCAGCUCCUCCUGUGGGUGGUUUUGCUGUCUUUCAACAGGUAAGGGACCCAUUUCGCAACCACACUCCCUUGGGGAAGUCAGUGCUUGUGGACCUUCCCACUGCUUUGGGGUUUGGAGUCAUUUCCAGCCUGUGCCUGGGGCAACAGGAGGGCUGCCUGCUACCUCUGCAAGGCACAUGUCUCCUGGAAACUGCAUGUGGAAAAAAGGAUAUGAUAGUCGUUGGCUUUGCUCAGAUGGAGAGCCUGGACAUUGUCUUGCUGUGUACUAAAGAGGAGAUGACCUAGAACAUGCUCAUCCUGGAGCUGAGCAAUAGGAUGCAGGUGACGCACACAGAAUCAGAAUUGUCUCUUCAAGUAGCUGGAAGAAAACUGUAAUUCCAGUGAACCCCAGGGAGAAGGCAGUGACCAGUAGCAGAAGAUGGGGACGCAGAGCUGAAGUGCCAUUGCAUUCAGUGCCACAACCAUUGCUCUUCCAAUGCUUCUUUAGAGCUAUUGAACCUUUCCAAAUAACAUAAAAUGAACCACUGUUGUCAAAUUAGUAUGUAUGCCAAAAUGAAGAAAAUAAAAGUGUGCUAUUGGUUAAUACUGAGAGUAUU